RNAcentral lists this unclassified non-coding RNA (215 nucleotides) under plant metagenome. Its description in RNAcentral is "partial contains small subunit ribosomal RNA and internal transcribed spacer 1". The stretch from base 1 to 46 matches the Rfam family "Eukaryotic small subunit ribosomal RNA", at positions 1786 to 1831 of the family's 1831-position model. The record is from RNAcentral.
AAGUCGUAACAAGGUUUCCGUAGGUGAACCUGCGGAAGGAUCAUUAACGAGUUUGACAUGGGUUGAUGCUGGCCUUCCGAGGCAUGUGCUCACCCUGCUCAUCCAUCUACCCUGUGCACCUUUGUGGCGGGUCAGGCCCGAAAGGGUCGAGCCAGCUACGUUUUUAUACACACUUUAGUUCAGAAUGUAACUUGCUAUAAACGCAUUAAAUACAA